GGAGAGGUGGCAGAGCGGCUGAAUGCACUGGUCUUGAAAACCAGCAAGGGUUUGUAGCCCUUCGUGGGUUCAAAUCCCACCCUCUCCGCCA
RNAcentral lists this transfer RNA (91 nucleotides) under Kangiella geojedonensis. RNAcentral's name for it is "tRNA-Ser". It matches the Rfam family "tRNA". Rfam says of the family: Transfer RNA (tRNA) molecules are approximately 80 nucleotides in length. The record is from RNAcentral. Lineage: Bacteria; Pseudomonadati; Pseudomonadota; Gammaproteobacteria; Kangiellales; Kangiellaceae. RNAcentral also lists the same sequence under 1 other name.